GUGGCGGUACCUACCUGCGAGAGCUGCCGGGGGUUGGGGCAGCCGAAGAGCGCGGAGCUGGAGCUGAAGCUGAUGGCCCCUCUGCGGCUGAGGACGUGCUGUGGCACCGGUCUGUCCAGCGGCAGCACCGGCAGCUGAACUGCAAUCCCACGUUGCCUUGCAAAUAGCCUCCACGACAUGAAAAUAUGAACACGAGAGGGGACACUGGAUCAACUGCUGCCUCUUAAAAGCUUUCUUCAGUUGUUUUUCUCCCGUUUCUUGAAAUAAAAAUGUCACAAGCAUUCACAGUAUGACUUUAUAAUGUACAUGUGCAAUAAUUCAAAAUAUAAUAACCACACCAUAAUUCAAAGUAAAAUAACAUACUCAUCUUUUUUCAGUAAUUAAGGGUGCUGUCCAGCAAGGAAGAAACAUUAAUGAUGGUUGGGUUUAUCAUGAAGAAGGGCAUUUGUGAAACUGGAGAGAUGGAAGAUAACAGAAUCGGUUUCUUAGUUCAUAUGAGAAGAGGAUGAAAUCACACGGAGCACGAAGACUUGAGAGCUAAUGGGCCCGAAUAACUGAAUUUGAUGAAAGAUUGCUUACAUUACUGCUCAUCUUGAACUGGAUGAUCUGUGGGCAAACUACCCAUCCUUGAAUCUGUAGCUAAGGUAAUCAAUUCCCAGAUAAUGGGAGAAUUGACUUUUAUUUUAGAGAAGUCAGAAUGAAUACUAAUACACUGCAAGUCAAUACCAUUUGCAUUACAAGUGACUAGUUUAUUGC
Long non-coding RNA from Pezoporus flaviventris, 756 nucleotides. RefSeq lists it as uncharacterized. NCBI's taxonomy places the organism in Eukaryota, Metazoa, Chordata, Aves, Psittaciformes, Psittacidae. The record is from RefSeq and is a predicted model, not a curated record. The transcript has 4 exons.